Molecule: ribosomal RNA, 253 nt
Filed under: uncultured bacterium
Lineage: Bacteria
Description: partial 16S ribosomal RNA
Rfam family: Bacterial small subunit ribosomal RNA
Source: RNAcentral
UACGUAGGGUGCGAGCGUUAAUCGGAAUUACUGGGCGUAAAGCGUGCGCAGGCGGUUUUGUAAGCCAGAUGUGAAAGCCCCGGGCUCAACCUGGGAAUGGCAUUUGGGACUGCAAGGCUUGAGUGCGGCAGAGGAGACUGGAAUUCCUGGUGUAGCAGUGAAAUGCGUAGAUAUCAGGAAGAACACCAAUGGCGAAAGCAGCUUUCUGGGACGGUACUGACGCUGAGACGCGAAAGCGUGGGGAGCGAACAGG